AACGAACGCUGGCGGCGCGUCUUAAGCAUGCAAGUCGAACGUCAAGAUAGAAGCUUGCUUCUAUCCUAGAGUGGCGGACUGGUGAGUAACACGUGGGUGACAUACCUUUUAGUUGGGGAUAGCUACUAGAAAUAGUAGAUAAUACCGAAUAUGACCAUUGCAGUUAGAGAGCAAUGAGGAAAGGAGCUAAGGCUUCGCUAGAAGAUUGGCCCGCGGCCCAUUAGUUAGUUGGUGAGGUAAUGGCCCACCAAGACAAUGAUGGGUAUCCGGCCUGAGAGGGUGAUCGGACACAUUGGGACUGAGAUACGGCCCAGACUCCUACGGGAGGCAGCAGCUAAGAAUAUUCCACAAUGGACGAAAGUCUGAUGGAGCGACGCCGCGUGGAUGAUGAAGGCCGAAAGGUUGUAAAAUCCUUUUAAACUGGAAGAAUAAGCGUGGUAGGGAAUGAUCGCGUGAUGACAGUACAGUUUGAAUAAGCAACGGCUAAUUACG
Molecule: ribosomal RNA, 492 nt
Filed under: uncultured bacterium
Lineage: Bacteria
Description: bacterial SSU rRNA
Rfam family: Bacterial small subunit ribosomal RNA
Source: RNAcentral